AACGAACGCUGGCGGCAUGCCUAACACAUGCAAGUCGAACGAGCCCUUCGGGUCUAGUGGCGCAAGGGUGCGUAACGCGUGGGAACAUGCCCUUAGGCUCGGAAUAACUCCCCGAAAGGGGUGCUAAUACUGGCUAAUGUCUUCGGAACAAGGAUUUAUCGCCUUUGGAUGGGCCCGCGUUGGAUUAGCUAGUUGGUAGGGUAAAGGCCUACCAAGGCGACGAUCGAUAGCUGGUCUGAGAGGAUGAUCAGCCACACUGAGACUGAGACACGGCCCAGACUCCUACGGGAGGCAGCAGUGGGGAAUAUUGGACAAUGGGCGAAAGCCUGAUCCAGCAAUGCCGCGUGAGUGAUGAAGGCCUUAGGGUUGUAAAGCUCUUUUACCCGGGAUGAUAAUGACAGUACCGGAAGAAUAAGCCCCGGCUAACUCCGUG
RNAcentral lists this ribosomal RNA (433 nucleotides) under uncultured bacterium. RNAcentral's name for it is "partial 16S ribosomal RNA". It matches the Rfam family "Bacterial small subunit ribosomal RNA", at positions 29 to 507 of the family's 1533-position model. The record is from RNAcentral.